AGGACGAACGCUUGCGACGUGCCUAAGAAAUGCAAGUCGAACGGGGUCAUCCUUCGGGGUGGCCUAGUGGCGAACGGUCGCGUAACACGUGGGCAACCUGCCCUGAAGCGGGGACAACAAGCCGAAAGGUUUGCUAAUACCGCAUGUGGAUCGCCUCGGCAUCGAGGAUUAUCCAAAGCAGCAAUGCACUUCAGGAUGGGCCCGCGGCCUAUCAGCUAGUUGGAGGGGUAACGGCCCACCAAGGCUUCGACGGGUAGCUGGUCUGAGAGGACGAUCAGCCGGAUUGGGACUGAGAUACGGCCCAGACUCCACGGGGGGCAGCAAUUAGGAAUCUUGCACAAUGGGCGAAAGCCUGAUGCAGCGACGUCGCGUGGGGGAUGAAAUCUUUCGGGAUGUAAACCCCUUUGUCAGGGAAGAAACAAAUGACGGUACCUGACGAAUAAGCCCGGCUAACUACGUGCCAGCAGCCGC
RNAcentral lists this ribosomal RNA (471 nucleotides) under uncultured bacterium. RNAcentral describes it as "SSU rRNA". It matches the Rfam family "Bacterial small subunit ribosomal RNA", at positions 26 to 518 of the family's 1533-position model. The record is from RNAcentral.